Molecule: ribosomal RNA, 508 nt
Filed under: uncultured Glomus
Lineage: Eukaryota; Fungi; Glomeromycota; Glomeromycetes; Glomerales; Glomeraceae
Description: SSU rRNA
Rfam family: Eukaryotic small subunit ribosomal RNA
Source: RNAcentral
AGCAGCCGCGGUAAUUCCAGCUCCAAUAGCGUAUAUUAAAGUUGUUGCAGUUAAAAAGCUCGUAGUUGAAUUUCGGGAUCAAUAUAUUGAUCAUGCUUAGGUAUGUACUGGUAUUAUUGAUUUCUCCCUUCUGGAGAACCAUAAUGUCAUUAAUUUGAUGUCAUGGGGAAUCAGGACUGUUACUUUGAAAAAUUAGAGUGUUUAAAGCAGGCUUUCGCUUGAAUACAUUAGCAUGGAAUAAUGAAAUAGGACGUUUGAUUCUAUUUUGUUGGUUUCUAGGAUCGACGUAAUGAUUAAUAGGGAUAGUUGGGGGCACUAGUAUUCAAUUGUCAGAGGUGAAAUUCUUGGAUUUAUUGAAGACUAACUACUGCGAAAGCAUUUGCCAAGGAUGUUUUCAUUAAUCAAGAACGAAAGUUAGGGGAUCGAAGACGAUCAGAUACCGUCGUAGUCUUAACCAUAAACUAUGCCGACUAGGGAUCGGAUGAUGUUAAUUUUUAAUGACUCAUUC